GCCAGCAGCCAUAUCACCCUGCAACUCACAACUGGGAGCCCGCUGAAGCUAAGCAGGUGUAAGCCUGGUCAGUACCUGGAUGGGGGACCUCCUGGAAAAGGUUGCUGCUGGAA
This 113-nucleotide ribosomal RNA is filed under the name Lepisosteus oculatus (spotted gar). Lineage: Eukaryota; Metazoa; Chordata; Actinopteri; Semionotiformes; Lepisosteidae. The record is from RNAcentral.